AUGAAGGUCUGCACGAAUUUUCCCAACCAAUAUGGUUCAGCUGAAAGAGGGGGGGAGUGGAGCAGACCUCCUAUGGUUUUUCUAAAACCGAACUUUGAUGCUUCUUUUGAUCAUGAUCUGCUUAGGGGCGCAAUUGGUGUUGUCCUUCGGGAUGAUAAAGGAAAAAUCAUUGUUGGCCGAAACUGUGGGGGACCCCUCCCCCCAUUCUAA
This 210-nucleotide ribosomal RNA is filed under the name Triticum aestivum (bread wheat). Its description in RNAcentral is "partial small subunit ribosomal RNA". The record is from RNAcentral. Lineage: Eukaryota; Viridiplantae; Streptophyta; Magnoliopsida; Poales; Poaceae.